UACAGAGGUCUCAAGCGUUGUUCGGAUUCAUUGGGCGUAAAGGGUGUGUAGGCGGCGAGGUAAGUCGGAUGUGAAAUCUCGGGGCUCAACCCCGAAACUGCAUUCGAUACUGCUUGCUUGAGGACUGGAGAGGAGAUCGGAAUUCACGGUGUAGCAGUGAAAUGCGUAGAUAUCGUGAGGAAGGCCAGUGCGAAGGCGGAUCUCUGGACAGUUCCGUGACGCUGAGGCACGAAGGCCAGGGGGAACAACGG
This 251-nucleotide ribosomal RNA is filed under the name uncultured bacterium. RNAcentral describes it as "partial 16S ribosomal RNA". It matches the Rfam family "Bacterial small subunit ribosomal RNA", at positions 524 to 775 of the family's 1533-position model. The record is from RNAcentral.